UACGUAGGGGGCAAGCGUUGUCCGGAAUCAUUGGGCGUAAAGAGCGUGUAGGCGGCCCGAUAAGUCCGUCGUGAAAGUCCAGGGCUCAACCCUGGGAUGCCGGUGGAAACUGUCGGGCUAGAGUCCGGAAGAGGCGAGUGGAAUUCCUGGUGUAGCGGUGAAAUGCGCAGAUAUCAGGAGGAACACCGAUGGCGAAGGCAGCUCGCUGGGACGGUACUGACGCUGAGACGCGAAAGCGUGGGGAGCAAACAGG
This 253-nucleotide ribosomal RNA is filed under the name uncultured bacterium. RNAcentral's name for it is "partial 16S ribosomal RNA". It matches the Rfam family "Bacterial small subunit ribosomal RNA", at positions 524 to 776 of the family's 1533-position model. The record is from RNAcentral.